CCUACGGGUGGCAGCAGUAGGGAAUAUUGCUCAAUGGGGGAAACUCUGAAGCAGCAACGCCGCGUGGAGGAUGAAGGUUCUCGGAUUGUUAACUCCUUUUGUUAGAGAAGAUAAUGACGGCAUCUAACGAAUAAGCACCGGCAAAGUCGGAGCCAGCAGCCCCGGUAACACGGCGGGUGCAAGCGUUAUUCGGAAGCACUGGGCGUAAAGAGCGCGUAGGCGGGUUAGCAAGUCAGAUGUGAAGUCCUAUGGCUAACCCAUAGAACUGCAUUGAUAACUGUUAUUGUAGGGUCAGGUGGAGGUAGGUGGAAUUCUGGGUGUAGGGGUAAAAGCCG
RNAcentral lists this ribosomal RNA (335 nucleotides) under uncultured bacterium. RNAcentral describes it as "partial 16S ribosomal RNA". It matches the Rfam family "Bacterial small subunit ribosomal RNA", at positions 338 to 690 of the family's 1533-position model. The record is from RNAcentral.